RNAcentral lists this long non-coding RNA (204 nucleotides) under Capsicum annuum. RNAcentral's name for it is "long non-coding RNA (CANN_LNC000379)". The record is from RNAcentral. Lineage: Eukaryota; Viridiplantae; Streptophyta; Magnoliopsida; Solanales; Solanaceae.
UGACAGAGCAGAGAGGGUGAAAGAGAUGAUGGGAGGAAAGAGAAAGAGAUCUAACGCGGCUGAAAAUGCAUUCCUACAAUAUUUAGGGUUUGGGAGGUAUUGUGGGUAUUUUGAGUAAAGUAAUUGAGGACAAAAUAGGUAGUUUGCUGUAACUUAAAAUUUUAAUUGAGUUUGAUCAGCCAAUAAAAUAAAGACACGUGGCAG